This 67-nucleotide transfer RNA is filed under the name Rhinebothroides sp. MZUSP 8017. Its description in RNAcentral is "tRNA-Leu". The record is from RNAcentral. Lineage: Eukaryota; Metazoa; Platyhelminthes; Cestoda; Rhinebothriidea; Rhinebothriidae.
GUAAGAAUGCCAGAGGAAAUAUGGAGUUGGUUUAGGACCAGCUUACGGUAUUUAUUACCUUCUUACU